This 106-nucleotide non-coding RNA is filed under the name Elusimicrobiota bacterium. The record is from RNAcentral. Lineage: Bacteria; Pseudomonadati; Elusimicrobiota.
AUAUGGCAUAAUAUAGUUGAUUCGCAGAGGAACCCGGUGUGAUUCCGGGGCUGCCCCGCAACGGUAAUGCCGCAAGGCUAAGCCCGGUCUACUGCAAAAGCGCCCG